This is a long non-coding RNA of Leguminivora glycinivorella, 1618 nucleotides long. RefSeq lists it as uncharacterized. The transcript is spliced from 2 exons. The record is from RefSeq and is a predicted model, not a curated record. NCBI's taxonomy places the organism in Eukaryota, Metazoa, Arthropoda, Insecta, Lepidoptera, Tortricidae.
GUUGCACUGAGAAGGCCAACGGUUGGUUUACUGUUUUGGAAAUUAGCGGAGGUUUUUUUCUAUAUGCAGCGCAGUUGGCCGCAUAGUUUUUUUCACCCUCCGAGGGUUGACGCGGGUUCGAGAUUUUUUUUUAAUAUUUUUUUUUGUGGUCAAACAGUAGUUUGCUUGUUUUUAAAUACCUUUUGGUAUAAUUUUGUAGAUAUUGGGGGAUUUUUUUUUGAGAUUUUACAGUCUCGAACUUGCGUCAGGUUUUUUUGAUUCUGAUAUUUUUUUGGUAGGUUUAGUUUUCUUGCCUUCAGAUUUUGUUUUUUUUUAUGAAAGUCGCUGAGGACAGCGAGCGGUUCACCUACGUUGAACCUUAAAUCGGGAAGGGGGGUAUUGUAACGUAGCAGAUUUUUUGAUAGUCGUAAUUAAAUAUUUUGGAUAGAUUUAAUUUUUGAAUGAAACACUUCCUUCUCGUUCAUUGCAUUAUCUGUUGCACUUCAAAUGCACAUAUUUAUGUUUAUCUGUUGUAGGGUUGCCAUACAACAAGUAUUAUUCGAAAUUGUAGGUAUUUUGGCUGUCAUUCCAGGAAAACUUUGUAUAGUUUUGAUAUACUUUAAGUAUUGAUUUUUGGAAAAUAUAAUAUUUUAGAGACAUGAUAACAAAUGUUAUCAUAGGUUUUUUAAGGCUGUUCUGGAAUGAUAUUUGUUAGGUUUUGUUUACUUCAAGGUCUGAUACAGAAACUGGAGUAAUUUUCAUUUAAUGAAUUAGAGUAUUUUAUUGUUUAUUCGUUUGCCACCCGGCUUUUGUUUUGGGUCCUUUAAAUUCGAGAUCAUUCAGUGCGCCGUUCUUUCUGUGACGAGAUCCUCUUGUAUAGUGAUCGGACGGCCGUAUAAGGGCCUGGAGCCCGGCAUGCCACGUGCUGCCGUGGCGUUCCAUAUUUUGUGUGGUGCGUUCUGUCAGUCUGACUGGCAGAAACAUGCUAAGGGUGGGAGUGCUCCUUGGAGAUCCUCGGUCUGCAGUCUGCAGGUCUCCGGUGAGCUCGCUUACAUUUUUUUGUUUAGUCUAUCACAGUGUGUGAGGGCACUCGACUAAUGUGACCAAUUUAUUUGUUUCAUAGGAGUCGGGAAGAAGUAAAGAAUUAGAGAAUUGCAGAAGUAGAUAAUUAAACAAGAACCUUUACAAUUUCGAUGUGCAAGGAAACUUUCUUUGGCGUUACUGGCGCAAGGUGCCUUUGGACCUUGUUUUCGUAUGGAAGGGUCAGCCCUGUCCACGUGGCGAGGGGGCGUCAGCACCGGAGUCCGGGGAGCAGCCGGCUCAUCCCUGACAAGGUGUGUCUCCUGCCCGUUUCCUGCCGGUAGUGAUGUGUAAUUCAGGUUUUAAUUUCUGUGUAAAGUAAUUUCUGAUUUCAUUUAUUUUGAGAAUUCUGGUGCAUAACUUUAGGUAAAUUCAUAUUUAGUUUUUGUAGAAUAAAUGGUUGUAAGAAACCUUUUCCUGGACCCUCUUAAAGCGGCCCAGCUUUACCACUGAGCGUAGUUCUUAUUUCAUAUAUGGUGUCAAAUUUAGUAUUUUGGAAACAUUAACUUAAACCUAUCUGUAAGGCAAGAUUUUGGUAUAAUAAAUAUAUAAAAUGUGA